Molecule: ribosomal RNA, 372 nt
Filed under: uncultured organism
Description: bacterial SSU rRNA
Rfam family: Bacterial small subunit ribosomal RNA
Source: RNAcentral
CGUAGGGUGCGAGCGUUAAUCGGAAUUACUGGGCGUAAAGCGUGCGCAGGCGGUUUGUUAAGAUAGGCGUGAAAUCCCCGGGCUCAACCUGGGAACUGCGCUUAUGACUGGCAAGCUAGAGUACGGCAGAGGGGGGUGGAAUUCCACGUGUAGCAGUGAAAUGCGUAGAGAUGUGGAGGAACACCAAUGGCGAAGGCAGCCCCCUGGGUCGAUACUGACGCUCAUGCACGAAAGCGUGGGUAGCAAACAGGAUUAGACACCCUGGUAGUCCACGCCCUAAACGAUGUCAACUAGGUGUUGGGAGGGUAAAACCUUUUAGUACCGGAGCUAACGCGUGAAGUUGACCGCCUGGGGAGUACGGCCGCAAGGUUA